GUCUGCUUGCACUCGCUUGCUUAAAUACGUCCAGUGUUCUACUUACUCUUCUCUCUCCCUCUUCUUCCGUCUCCAUAUCUGCAACUGCAGCCGCGAGGAAAUUCUCUCAAUCGAUGAGCUCCCCCGUUCUUGAUGUGGUUUUCGACCGCGAGGAGAAUCUUGAGACCAGAAAGGCGUACUCCAAUUCUUUCAUGAUUUAGGCGCUCCAAGACUAAUCCCCUUUCGAUGUGAAGUCAUCCAGAGCGCCAAUUAGUCCUCUUCUUCUCCAGUCAUUUCAACGGCAAGAAGCAUCCACGGGCGUCGCUCCCAUGGCGGCGCUGGCCGUUAUGCUGCUGCUGCUGCUGCUGCUUCACCUGGCGUGCGCAGUUGUUUCCGGCACCGACGACGAGGCCGCAGCGCUGCUCGAGUUCAAGCGCGCGUCCGUUGCUGCCGACAAGCACGGCGCGCUUGCGGGCUGGGCCAACUCCACCUCCAGCUCGCCGUGCGCGUGGGUCGGCGUCUCGUGCGCGGACGGCCGCGUCCGCGCGCUCAACCUCAGCGGCAUGUCGCUCGCUGGCCGGCUCCGCCUUGAUGCCCUGCUCGCGCUCCCCGCUCUUCAGAGCCUUGACCUCCGCGGGAAUGCGUUCCACGGCGACCUCGCUCACCACGCCCCGCCGCCGCGGCGGACAGCGCCGCCGUGCGCGCUCGUGGACUUGGACUUGUCCUCGAACGACCUCAACGGGACGCUGCCCCGCGCGUUCUUGGCGUCCUGCAGGGGCCUGCAGCUCCUCAACUUGUCCAGGAACACCCUCACCGGCGGUGGCUUCCCGUUCCCGCCGUCUCUGCGCACCUUGGACAUGUCCAGGAAUAUGCUUUCAGAUGCCGGCUUGCUGAACUACUCCCUGACCGGCUGCCAUGGAGUUCAGUACCUCAAUUUCUCGGCCAACCAAUUCACUGGAGGCCUCUCGGAACUUGCAACGUGCAGUGGGGUUGCUGUUCUUGAUUUGGCAUGGAACCUCUUGUCCGGCGUCCUGCCUGCUAGGCUUGUCGCCACGGCACCAGCAGAUUUGAUACACUUGAGCAUCGCUGGGAACAACCUUUCUGGGGACAUCUCAGAUUAUGAAUUUGGUGGUUGUGCAAACCUCACUGUGCUCGAUUGGUCAUACAAUAGAUUAAGUGGCAUGGGGCUGCCACUGAGUCUUGCCAAUUGCCGCCAUCUGGAGAUACUUGACAUAUCCGGGAACAAGCUUCUGUCUGGUCCAAUACCAGUGUUCUUGGCAGACUUCCAAGCAUUGAGGCGACUUGCACUAGCUGGGAACAACUUCACCGGGCCAAUACCAGAUAAGCUGAGCAUCUUGUGCAGAACGCUGGUUGAACUAGACUUCUCGAGCAAUCAGCUGACUGGUAGCUUGCCUGUGAGUUAUGCACAAUGUAGGUUGCUUCAGGUACUUGACCUCGGCAACAACCAGCUGUCUGGGGACUUUGUGGUUACUGUCAUCAGCAAUAUCUCUUCUCUCCGUGUGCUGCGGCUACCAUUCAACAAUAUCACAGGGACAAACCCCCUGCCCGCGCUCGCAGCUGGGUGCCGUUUGCUUGAAGUUAUUGAUCUUGGGUCUAAUGAGCUCAAUGGGGAGAUCAUGCCAGACUUAUGCUCAUCAUUGCCAUCACUGCGAAAGCUUCUCCUCCCGAACAAUUACCUCAACGGAACUGUGCCACCGUCACUUGGUAAUUGCAGCAGUCUAGAGUCAAUCGACCUCAGUUUGAACCUAUUGAUCGGUCAGAUUCCACCUGAAGUAUUAUUGCUUCCUAAGCUUGUUGAUCUGGUCAUGUGGGCAAACAAUCUCUCCGGUGAAAUACCAGAUAAGCUGUGUGCAAAUAGCAUAACACUGGAGACAUUGGUGAUAAGUUACAACAACUUCACUGGAGGCAUCCCUCCAUCCAUUACCAGAUGUGCAAAUCUGAUUUGGGUGUCACUUGCUGCCAACCAUCUGACUGGGAGCGUGCCCACAGGCUUCAGCAGCCUCCAGAAGCUUGCCAUUCUACAGCUGCACAAGAAUUCCCUCUCUGGCCAGGUCCCAGCAGAGUUUGGCAGCUGCAGCAACCUCAUCUGGCUUGAUCUCAAUAGCAAUAACUUCACUGGCAUGAUACCACCGCAGUUAGCAGCACAGGCGGGGUUCAUCACUGGAGGUAUUGUCUCUGGAAAGCAGUUCGCAUUCCUCAGGAAUGAGGCUGGAAACAUCUGCCCUGGUGCCGGAGUGUUGUUCGAGUUCCUUGACAUCCGUCCAGAGCGGCUGGCCCAGUUCCCAGUUGUGCACUCGUGUGCCUCCACGAGGAUAUACACUGGGAUGACAGUGUACACCUUCAGUAAUAACGGAAGCAUGAUCUUCCUUGAUCUAUCAUACAACAGCCUUACCGGCACAAUUCCGGCAAGCUUCGGGAACAUGACAUAUCUUGAGGUCCUUAACUUGGGCCAUAAUGACCUUACUGGUGCAAUUCCAGAUGCAUUCACGGGUCUUAAUGUGAUUGGUGUACUUGACCUCUCACACAAUCACCUCACCGGUGUCAUCCCCUCAGGACUUGGGUGCUUGCAUUUCCUUGCAGACUUCGAUGUCUCUAACAACAACCUGACUGGUGAAAUCCCCACAUCAGGGCAGCUUAUUACAUUCCCAGCAUCCCGCUAUGAAAACAACUCUGGUCUCUGUGGCAUCCCCUUGAAUCCUUGUGUGCACAAUUCCAGCACUGGAGGUCUGCCCCAAUCUUCCCCUGAUGGGCGGAGGAAGAAGUUCGUCGGAGAAAGUGUGCUCCUUGCAGUUGCACUAUUAGUGCUCAUAGUGCUCACUCUGGUGGUCACUCUAUACAAGCUCAGGAGGCCCCAUGAAAGAAAAACUGAAGAAAUUCAAACUGGGUACAGCGAGAGCCUCCCAACAUCCACCAACUUCAGCUGGAAACUUUCUAGUGCCCGCGAGCCACUAAGCAUCAAUUUGGCCAUAUUUGACAAUCCAUUGAGAAAGCUAACAUAUGCUCACCUGCAUGAAGCCACCAAUGGCUUCAGUUCAGAGGCACUCAUUGGCUCAGGAGGAUUUGGCGAGGUUUACAAGGCUAAGCUCAAGGAUGGCAUUGUUGUGGCUGUAAAGAAGUUGAUGCAUUUUACAGGUCAGGGUGACAGGGAGUUCACCGCAGAGAUGGAAACCAUUGGCAAGAUCAAGCAUCGCAAUCUUGUGCCAUUGCUAGGCUACUGCAAAAUCGGUGAUGAGCGUCUCCUUGUGUACGAGUAUAUGAAGAAUGGCAGCUUGGAUGUUGUGCUCCAUGAAAAAGCCGAGACUGCUGUGAAUCUUGAUUGGGCAGCAAGGAAAAAGAUUGCAGUUGGUUCAGCAAGAGGCUUAGCCUUCCUCCACCACAGCUGCAUCCCACACAUCAUACACCGGGACAUGAAGUCGAGCAAUGUGCUGCUUGAUGGUAACCUUGAUGCCUAUGUAUCGGAUUUUGGGAUGGCAAGGCUCAUGAAUGCACUGGACUCACAUCUGACUGUGAGCAUGCUAUCAGGAACACCUGGAUAUGUGCCACCUGAGUACUGCCAGUCCUUUAUGUGCACAACCAAGGGUGACGUCUACAGCUACGGUGUUGUGCUCUUGGAGCUUCUCUCAGGGAAAAAGCCAAUUGAUCCGACCGAGUUUGGUGACACGAACCUUGUUGAGUGGGCAAAGCAGAUGGUUAAGGAGGACAGAUGCAACGAGAUAUUCGACCGUACUUUAACCACUACGGAGUCCUGUGAAUUGGAGUUCUAUCAGUAUCUGAAGAUUGCUUGCCACUGCUUGGAUGAUCAGCCUAACUGCAGGCCUACCAUGAUCCAGAUAAUGGCAAUGUUCAAAGAGUUGCAGAAUGACUCAGACAGCAACUUCCUGGAUGGCUUCUUGAUCAAAUCAGCAAAUAUAGAGGAAUCGUCUGAGAAAUCGGUUGAGGGACUUGAUCACUUAACCAGGCAACGCCUUUUGAUCCCUGGAACAAACAUACAGUUACAUUUCAGACUUUGUAACUUAAUAAUCAGCAAUGCCAAUGCUUCUGGCAUCCUCAAAGGCAAUAAGGCAUACAGGUGGCGGUACAAACUCGUGUACCCUUCCUUCGUGACUUCUGCGGAUGUUAAUUGUACCUUUCCAGGAUUUCAGAUGUGUGACACUGAAAAUAUACUCAUUUACAAAAGGUGUAUGUAUGUCUUAUGAUGCUCUUUCAUACCUGGCACUCCCCUAUUUUCUGCAAAGAUGAAGAAUCUUCACCAAAAUUCUUAGCUUUUUGCCUUUCAAAAGAUGGCUGCUAUUCUUCGUGUUGAAACUCUUGAAUCCAAUAAUGUGUACCACUUGCAGUCAAAGAUUAGCUGAAAGCCGUAUACUUUUGAACUCUGAAUACUAGAUGCUCACAUACUGUUUAUCUGAUGUCUAAUGAUAAACAAGAACCAACUGGGUGGUCAAAUGUCACUUUCAGAACAGCCUGCAUGCUUCAGGUAAAAGGAUUUGGUGUUAGGUCAGCUGAGAUGCGUUCCUUGACAUGCCAUUCUUCGCGUGUACUAAAUAAGUGAUGGUGGGUUCUUGGUCAUGCACGGCAUCUGAUCCUUCACUCCCUGAUGCUGUACUGUAGCUGUAUCAGGUCGGAGAUGUGUGCACGGCUGUGUGGCACUAGUUAGGCAUGAGGCUGAAGACUUUUGGGACAGUGACCUUUGGUUUCAAAUCUAGAUGUGUGCACGGCUGUGUGGCACUAGUUAGGCAUGAGGCUGAAGACUUUUGGGACAGUGACCUUUGGUUUCAAAUCCUGUGUAAAUUACAUGAGGGGUUCUUACACUUACCAGUUUUGUGCGUUUUCUUUAGCAGGAAGUAAUAUCAGUUUUGUUAUUUAGUUUGUUUUUA
RNA transcript from Phragmites australis (common reed), 4874 nucleotides. It is a transcript of the gene named brassinosteroid LRR receptor kinase BRL3-like, with no coding region annotated. NCBI's taxonomy places the organism in Eukaryota, Viridiplantae, Streptophyta, Magnoliopsida, Poales, Poaceae. The transcript is spliced from 4 exons. The record is from RefSeq and is a predicted model, not a curated record.